Molecule: ribosomal RNA, 395 nt
Filed under: uncultured bacterium
Lineage: Bacteria
Description: bacterial SSU rRNA
Rfam family: Bacterial small subunit ribosomal RNA
Source: RNAcentral
GUGCCAGCAGCCGCGGUAAUACAGAGGGAGCAAGCGUUGUUCGGAAUUACUGGGCGUAAAGGGCGCGUAGGCGGCUUGGUCAGUCUUGUGUGAAAUCCCUCGGCUCAACUGAGGAACUGCACAGGAUACUACCUGGCUUGAGUUCGGGAGAGGGGCGCGGAAUUCCGGGUGUAGCGGUGAAAUGCGUAGAUAUCCGGAGGAACACCGGUGGCGAAGGCGGCGCCCUGGACCGAUACUGACGCUGAGGCGCGAAAGCUAGGGGAGCAAACGGGAUUAGAUACCCCGGUAGUCCUAGCCCUAAACGAUGAGCGCUUGGUGUAGGAGGUUCUAACCCCUCCUGUGCCGAAGCUAACGCAUUAAGCGCUCCGCCUGGGGAGUACGGUCGCAAGGCUGAA